Molecule: ribosomal RNA, 1411 nt
Filed under: Staphylococcus pseudintermedius
Lineage: Bacteria; Bacillati; Bacillota; Bacilli; Caryophanales; Staphylococcaceae
Description: bacterial LSU rRNA
Rfam family: Bacterial large subunit ribosomal RNA
Source: RNAcentral
GGGGGGACGCAGUAGGAUAGGCGAAGCGUGCUGUUGGAGUGCACGUCCAAGCAGUGAGAUUGAGUGUUAGGCAAAUCCGGCACUCUUAAGAUUGAGCUGUGAUGGGGAGAGGAACUUGUUCCUCGAGUCGUUGAUUUCACACUGCCGAGAAAAGCCUCUAGCUAGAAUAACGGUGCCCGUACCGCAAACCGACACAGGUAGUCAAGAUGAGAAUUCUAAGGUGAGCGAGCGAACUCUCGUUAAGGAACUCGGCAAAAUGACCCCGUAACUUCGGGAGAAGGGGUGCUCUUUGAGGUUCACGCUUCGAAGAGCCGCAGUGAAUAGGCCCAAGCGACUGUUUAUCAAAAACACAGGUCUCUGCUAAACCGUAAGGUGACGUAUAGGGGCUGACGCCUGCCCGGUGCUGGAAGGUUAAGAGGAGUGGUUAGCGCAAGCGAAGCUACGAAUCGAAGCCCCAGUAAACGGCGGCCGUAACUAUAACGGUCCUAAGGUAGCGAAAUUCCUUGUCGGGUAAGUUCCGACCCGCACGAAAGGCGUAACGAUUUGGGCACUGUCUCAACGAGAGACUCGGUGAAAUCAUAGUACCGGUGAAGAUGCCGGUUACCCGCGACAGGACGGAAAGACCCCGUGGAGCUUUACUGUAGCCUGAUAUUGAAAUUCGGUACAGUUUGUACAGGAUAGGUAGGAGCCUUAGAAGCGUGAGCGCUAGCUUACGUGGAGGCAUUGGUGGGAUACUACCCUAAUUGUAUUGGAUUUCUAACCCGCAGCACUUAUCGUGCUGGGAGACAGUGUCAGGCGGGCAGUUUGACUGGGGCGGUCGCCUCCUAAAGAGUAACGGAGGCGCUCAAAGGUUCCCUCAGAAUGGUUGGAAAUCAUUCAUAGAGUGUAAAGGCAUAAGGGAGCUUGACUGCGAGACCUACAAGUCGAGCAGGGUCGAAAGACGGACUUAGUGAUCCGGUGGUUCCGCAUGGAAGGGCCAUCGCUCAACGGAUAAAAGCUACCCCGGGGAUAACAGGCUUAUCUCCCCCAAGAGUUCACAUCGACGGGGAGGUUUGGCACCUCGAUGUCGGCUCAUCGCAUCCUGGGGCUGUAGUCGGUCCCAAGGGUUGGGCUGUUCGCCCAUUAAAGCGGUACGCGAGCUGGGUUCAGAACGUCGUGAGACAGUUCGGUCCCUAUCCGUCGUGGGCGUAGGAAAUUUGAGAGGAGCUGUCCUUAGUACGAGAGGACCGGGAUGGACAUACCUCUGGUGUACCAGUUGUCGUGCCAACGGCAUAGCUGGGUAGCUAUGUAUGGACGGGAUAAGUGCUGAAAGCAUCUAAGCAUGAAGCCCCCCUCGAGAUGAGAUUUCCCAACUUCGGUUAUAAGAUCCCUCAAAGAUGAUGAGGUGAAUAGGUUCGAGGUGGAAGCGUAG